UGGACCGCAUGCCUAGCUUGAUGCCUGCC
RNAcentral lists this non-coding RNA (29 nucleotides) under Mus musculus (house mouse). The record is from RNAcentral. Lineage: Eukaryota; Metazoa; Chordata; Mammalia; Rodentia; Muridae.